CGUCCUCACCGCCGUUCACCGUUCUCGUCACGGUUCGUAAUCUCAUUCUUUUUAUAGCUUUUAAUCUUGAAUAAGUGACAGUGAUUUUCUGAAUAUGAAGGAUGAUAAGAUACAUUUUAGAAUCUUAUUUUCUUUGAACUUCAUGCCAAUCAUAGAAGUUUAUAAUCAUUGGGUAUUAAAGUUAAACAAUAACGAUUCAUUUUCUGCUCUGUUUUAUGGCUUCUAGCUGUUUGAUGAAAUGCACAGCUGAAACAAAACUUAAUAUUUGUUGUUCGGGAAGGUUUGAAUGACGAGUAAGGACAAUGCUGUGGAAGAGACACUAAUAGUAGAUGCUGUGUUUAUUUAAAAGUGUACUACUGCCUUUCAGGAUGCAUUGGGUGGAGAUGACAUUGAUAUUGUAGCUGCUUCCCAUGAAGAACUAGACGCGUAGUUAGAAUCGUUGAGGGAAAAACUAGCUGAGCUUUUACUGGACUGAAGAAUGUAAAUUUAGUACCUGCAGCUAAUACUUAUGUCCAGGUUUUUUUUCUUCUGAUUACUGUCCUUCAAUUAAGUUAAGAUUGUAAUUAAUGUUGUUAAAAUUCAAGAAAUCAUACAACACUUUAUGGCAAGAAAAGAGUAAUUUCAAUUUUCAUUUCUUGUAAUAGUAAAUAAAGGUUUGUAUGGCAACCGUUAUUUUAUUAAAGAAUACAGCCAUUCAAAUGAGAUUCUGCUUUGGUUUCUUCAUUAAAUACAUAUUGAAUUGAUGAAGGGAAGUAUAUCAUCACGUGCUUGAUUUUGUUACACUGAAUUUCUUUUGCUGUUAGAUUCGAGGAUUGGCAUGGCCUUGUUUGCUUGUUGGAUUGGUUGCUCAGAGUGCAAGGUGCAAACAUACUAUUUUUUUUCAUCCCUUCCUGUUUUCAGGUUGUUGCUUCGUAUAUGAUGGCUUUAAUUAGUCUUUCCGCUCCUGUAUUUAUUUCCUUGAUGCUAAAGGUUGAAUACAAUAUUUUUGUUAUAUUUGUUGCUCUUUAUCUCGAGUAGUCGAACCCUUAAAUGUAACUGAAAGUUUCGAUGUUUAGAUGGCUUUCUACUCUCUACUCAUAUAUUUUGCUACAUCAAUGGGUACACAUACAACGGCUGCCCAUCAAGUCAUGAUUCAGAUCUUCUGGAUAUGCACAGUAUGUGAUGAACCUCUCUCCCAAACUGCUCAGGCAUUUAUGCCUGAGUUGAUGUAUGGAGUAAAUCAGAGUUUGGAAAAGGCUAGGUCACUUCUAAGGUCUCUUGUGACUGUUGGAGCUAUACUUGGGUUGCUCUUUGGGAUAGUUGGAACAUUUAUUCCUUGGUUAUUCCCCUACAUGUUUACACCCUGAUCAGAUGGUCAUCCAGGAAAUGCACAGGAUCCUGAUUCCAUACUUUUUAGCGCUAGUGGUCACACCUGCAACUAUCAGCCUGGAGGGACAUUGCUGGUACGCUCGUGUGUUCGAUUAGAAUAUUUGGGUUUUCAUUAUUUAAGGAGUUUCCACUUAAUUAUUCUAGGAUCUCUAACUUUGUCUUGUAUUUACUUAUUUGUUCCUAGCUUGUUUCUUGUUACUACUCAUUCAAAUAAAGGCAACUGAAUGCAUUAUAUUGCAAGUAUUAUUUUAAGGUUGUAAGCUAAUUGUGUAUAUUUUAAGGUCGGCAAACCUUUCUAUUUUUAUGGUGGCUUUCAACAUGAAUCUGGCUUGAAAGCGUUGAGGCGGUGAAUUUUUGGUUAACAUUUCUACUGGUUUUUUUGCCCUCCCUGUAAUACUUCUAGGGGAGCAAAUAUUA
This is an RNA transcript of Vicia villosa (hairy vetch), 1785 nucleotides long. It is a transcript of the gene named protein DETOXIFICATION 46, chloroplastic-like, with no coding region annotated. The transcript has 5 exons. Lineage: Eukaryota; Viridiplantae; Streptophyta; Magnoliopsida; Fabales; Fabaceae. The record is from RefSeq and is a predicted model, not a curated record.